GGAGAGGUGGCAGAGUGGUCGAAUGUACCUGACUCGAAAUCAGGCGUCCGUGCGAACGGACCGAGGGUUCGAAUCCCUCCCUCUCCUCCA
Molecule: transfer RNA, 90 nt
Filed under: Variovorax paradoxus
Lineage: Bacteria; Pseudomonadati; Pseudomonadota; Betaproteobacteria; Burkholderiales; Comamonadaceae
Also listed under: 11 other names
Description: tRNA-Ser
Rfam family: tRNA
About the family: Transfer RNA (tRNA) molecules are approximately 80 nucleotides in length.
Source: RNAcentral